RNAcentral lists this ribosomal RNA (520 nucleotides) under bacterium btn 14g-3. RNAcentral describes it as "bacterial SSU rRNA". It matches the Rfam family "Bacterial small subunit ribosomal RNA", at positions 335 to 846 of the family's 1533-position model. The record is from RNAcentral.
ACUCCUACGGGAGGCAGCAGUGGGGAAUAUUGGACAAUGGGCGCAAGCCUGAUCCAGCCAUGCCGCGUGGGUGAAGAAGGCCUUCGGGUUGUAAAGCCCUUUUGUUGGGAAAGAAAAGCAGUCGGUUAAUACCCGAUUGUUCUGACGGUACCCAAAGAAUAAGCACCGGCUAACUUCGUGCCAGCAGCCGCGGUAAUACGAAGGGUGCAAGCGUUACUCGGAAUUACUGGGCGUAAAGCGUGCGUAGGUGGUGGUUUAAGUCCGUUGUGAAAGCCCUGGGCUCAACCUGGGAAUUGCAGUGGAUACUGGGUCACUAGAGUGUGGUAGAGGGUAGCGGAAUUCCUGGUGUAGCAGUGAAAUGCGUAGAGAUCAGGAGGAACAUCCGUGGCGAAGGCGGCUACCUGGACCAACACUGACACUGAGGCACGAAAGCGUGGGGAGCAAACAGGAUUAGAUACCCUGGUAGUCCACGCCCUAAACGAUGCGAACUGGAUGUUGGGUGCAAUUUGGCACGCAGUAU